Molecule: non-coding RNA, 72 nt
Organism: Phrynosoma platyrhinos (Desert horned lizard)
Lineage: Eukaryota; Metazoa; Chordata; Lepidosauria; Squamata; Phrynosomatidae
Source: the annotation of a GenBank genome assembly
GGCAAGGUGGCGCCAUGGUUUGAGAGUCGGACUGCGACUCUGGAGACCUGGGUUCGAAUCCUGGCUCGGCCA